CACGUAGGGGCCAAGCGUUGUCCGGAUUUAUUGGGCGUAAAGAGCUCGUAGGCGGUUCGGUAAGUCGGGUGUGAAAACUCUGGGCUCAACCCAGAGACGCCACCCGAUACUGCUGUGACUAGAGUCCGGUAGGGGAGUGGGGAAUUCCUGGUGUAGCGGUGAAAUGCACAGAUAUCAGGAGGAACACCGGUGGCGAAGGCGCCACUCUGGGCCGGUACUGACGCUGAGGAGCGAAAGCGUGGGUAGCAAACAGG
RNAcentral lists this ribosomal RNA (254 nucleotides) under uncultured bacterium. Its description in RNAcentral is "partial 16S ribosomal RNA". It matches the Rfam family "Bacterial small subunit ribosomal RNA", at positions 524 to 776 of the family's 1533-position model. The record is from RNAcentral.